CCUACGGGUGGCAGCAGUGAGGAAUAUUGGACAAUGGACGAGAGUCUGAACCAGCCAAGUAGCGUGAAGGAUGACUGCCCUAUGGGUUGUAAGCUUCUUUUAUAAAGGAGUAAAACGCGGCACGUGUGCCUUUUUGCAUGUACUUUAUGAUUCAGGAUAGGCUAACUCCGUGCCAGCAGCCGCGGUAAUACGGAUGAUCCGAGCGUGAUCCGGAUUUAUUGGGUGUAAAGGGAGCGUAGAUGGGUUGUGAAGUCAGGAGUGAAAGUUUGCGGCUCAACCGUAAAAUUGCAAUUGAUACUGGGAGUCUGGAGUACAGUAGAGGUAGGCGGAAUUCGUGGUGUAGCGGUGAAAUGCUUAGAUAUCAGGAAGAACCCCGAUUGCGAAGGCAGCUUACUAAACUGUAACUGACAUUGAGGCUCGAAAGUGUGGGUAUCAAACAGGAUUAGAUACCCUUGUAGUC
RNAcentral lists this ribosomal RNA (460 nucleotides) under uncultured bacterium. RNAcentral describes it as "partial 16S ribosomal RNA". It matches the Rfam family "Bacterial small subunit ribosomal RNA", at positions 338 to 795 of the family's 1533-position model. The record is from RNAcentral.